CUGUCAUAGCAAUGCAUCAUUUGAUCACGAUGGCUCUCACAUCAUGUGACAGACAAAUGAAUAUAAACAGCGAUCUGAUGAGCAAGAGAGCUGCAAUCCGGAAUGGAGAUUUUUGCAUGACGAUGGUUGGAGUGAUACGAACUUUGAGAGACCUGAUUUCCAACGUAU
RNAcentral lists this non-coding RNA (168 nucleotides) under unclassified sequences. RNAcentral's name for it is "DUF2800 RNA". It matches the Rfam family "DUF2800 RNA". Rfam says of the family: Actinobacteria, Firmicutes, Synergistetes (1 example). The record is from RNAcentral.